GGUUAAGCGACUAAGCGUACACGGUGGAUGCCCUGGCAGUCAGAGGCGAUGAAGGACGUGCUAAUCUGCGAUAAGCGUCGGUAAGGUGAUAUGAACCGUUAUAACCGGCGAUUUCCGAAUGGGGAAACCCAGUGUGAUUCGUCACACUAUCAUU
RNAcentral lists this ribosomal RNA (154 nucleotides) under Escherichia coli. RNAcentral describes it as "partial 23S ribosomal RNA". It matches the Rfam family "Bacterial large subunit ribosomal RNA", at positions 1 to 155 of the family's 2925-position model. The record is from RNAcentral. Lineage: Bacteria; Pseudomonadati; Pseudomonadota; Gammaproteobacteria; Enterobacterales; Enterobacteriaceae. RNAcentral also lists the same sequence under 3 other names.